UUCGUGUUUCAAGAAGAAAAGUCACCAGUUAUAUAUCAAUUGCGGAUCAAAUUAGAAAGUGAAGAAAAAGGGGUGUAAUGAAUAUGUGAAAAAGAGAAGAUAAAUCGUUAUGAGGUAAGGGUUUUGAUUGGUUUUCUGCAACAAGUAUGGGAUUUUAUAACUUGGAAAAGUGGAAUUCACUUUGGAGGGGAGUCUUAGGCAACACCAGUGUUCGAAAUUUUUGAGUGGUUCCUGUUUAAGUCGUGCAGUGCAAGAGGAAGAUGAAGGUUGAGUUAGAGCAAUAAUAUUUUGGACUCAGUUUAAUCAUAGGGAGAACUACAAGGUUAAAGAAUCGCAGAAGAGAAAUAGAGGGCAUGUUGGCAUAGUCUAGUAUAAGUCUUAUCAAUCAGGAGUGAUUUUGGGCAUGGUCGCUUUGUGGAGAAGAAAACAGUGUUGAGGAAAUGGAAUGACAAAGCUAUUAUGCAAGGGAAGAGUUUUCAAGGUUUUGUAAGGAUAUAUAGAAGUCCUGAAACAGGUUCUUCGAGGGUGAUCUUUUGCUGGUUACAGUUGUCAUGAAGGAAGUGUUCUUUUAAGUAAAUUGGUGAGUAAGGAAGUAUAAAGAUCAGAGUAGCGCAGCGGAUGAUGGUGAGCAUGUGAUUGUCAGUAACAGGUAUGCAUGAAGAACUUUCAAAAUUGUGGAUUUGUGGUUGUGAGGGACGAGUUCUUUGAAACAGUAUUGGUGUUAAUAUAUGAGCAUGAGUCGGGGGUGUUUGGUAAUCUUCAAGAGUCAAAAGUGAGUUUAGGUGUGAAAGAAUCAUGUGUCAGGCAGGGAAGAUAAGUGAGCUUUUGGUUGCAAGCUACAGGGUCAACUUUAAAGUGAGAAAGUGUUAAUGGCUUUGGAAUGAGAAGAGUGGGUCAAUGGGCGAAGGAGACUAUUUGAGUUGUGGUCUUGAGUUAUAGUGGCAAUCUAGAGGUAAGGUUAUGUUAGCAGACGAUCAUGAAUAAGUAUACGUUGCUGAGAAUAAAUGAUUUGAUGGAUCCACUACAAGGAGCUACAGUAUUCUCUAAGAUUGAUCUGAAGUUUGGCUAUCAUCAAAUCUUAGUGAAAGCGGAUGAUGUGCAGAAAACGGCGUUCAAGUGCAACAAGUAAGGAUAAUAUGGGAGAACCUACCUAGGAUUGUUCCGGUAAGCUUAAUUUUCGAGGACGAAAAUUUUUGUUGUUGGGGAGAAUGUAAGACCCGUGAAUUAGGAAGGUGGGACAAGGUGGUCACCCACCAUUUCCCUAAAACACGGGUGCUUGUUUGGAGGAGGGAUGCAUUAUUGAUACAAGGAAAGAAGAAAAGGGGGCGGCUGGGGGAAGAGGGUGUGUUUUUCAGUUUUUUUAUUUUGGGGGUGUCUUUUGAGAGAAGGGAAUCAGAAAGCGUAGGAAGUUUAUGGGGGACAGUGUGUUUCGUUUGUUUUUGGCUUGAAGAGUGAGAGAGAGAGAGCCGUGAGAGAGAGAGAGCCGUGAGAGAGAGAGAGAGCCGUGAGGGAGAGGGAGCAGCAGGAGGAAGGGAGCCUUCCUUCCUUCCGUUUCCAGCCGUUCGAAGAUCACCUGGGAGCUUUACCAACUUCAGGAAGACUGAGAUGGAUCUGGGUUGAGUUGUUGCAAUGUUUGCUGGGAGAAGAAGAAGUGAAGAACUCUUAAAGAUUGGAAGAAGAUCAAACUCUCUAGAAAUGAUUCAAGGAGGUCUUCAAGAGACGUUGUUGAAGAGGUUUCCCUUGAAGCAAGAGCUGGAGGUUGUUGAUGUUGCAGAAUAGUCUUCUUAGAGUUUCCUGAUUGAACACUUGUAGUGUUUAAUCCUUUCAAAUGUUCAAGUUUAAAUUUUCAGUGUCUGUUAUUGGUGAAUGACUGUAAUUUCAUAUUUAAUUACACUUCAUACUCCGACUGUUCCCUAUAUUUGGAUGUUAACGUCUUUAUUAUAUAAUAUUGGUUAUUAUAUAAUCGGGAUGUGACAUUAAUGGUAUCAGAGCAGUUCGUCCUUAGGAUGACCUUUGUGUUGUA
Molecule: long non-coding RNA, 2023 nt
Organism: Vigna angularis (adzuki bean)
Lineage: Eukaryota; Viridiplantae; Streptophyta; Magnoliopsida; Fabales; Fabaceae
Exons: 2
Source: RefSeq, a predicted model, not a curated record